This 73-nucleotide transfer RNA is filed under the name Glycine max (soybean). RNAcentral's name for it is "tRNA-Tyr (GTA) (tRNA-Tyr-GTA-4-1)". It matches the Rfam family "tRNA". Rfam says of the family: Transfer RNA (tRNA) molecules are approximately 80 nucleotides in length. Lineage: Eukaryota; Viridiplantae; Streptophyta; Magnoliopsida; Fabales; Fabaceae. The record is from RNAcentral. RNAcentral also lists the same sequence under 4 other names.
CCGACCUUAGCUCAGUUGGUAGAGUGGAGGACUGUAGAUCCUUAGGUCGCUGGUUCGAAUCCGGCAGGUCGGA